Molecule: ribosomal RNA, 561 nt
Filed under: Colilodion wuesti
Lineage: Eukaryota; Metazoa; Arthropoda; Insecta; Coleoptera; Staphylinidae
Description: partial large subunit ribosomal RNA
Rfam family: Bacterial large subunit ribosomal RNA
Source: RNAcentral
GCCCUUCGCCUGUUUAUCAAAAACAUGUCUUUAUGAUUAUUAUAUAAAGUCUAAUCUGCCCACUGAAUUUUUAAAUGGCCGCAGUAUUUUGACUGUGCGAAGGUAGCAUAAUAAUUAGUUUUUUUAUUGAAAGCUAGAAUGAAUGAUUGGAUGAGAAAAUAUCUGUCUCUUAUUUAUUUAUAAAAUUUUAUUUUUAAGUUAAAAAGCUUAAAUUUUAUUCAAAGACGAGAAGACCCUAUAGAGUUUUACAAUAUUGUUUAUAUUGAAUUUUUUAGGAAUAAUCUAUUUGUUAUAAUUAAAUUGUUUUGUUGGGGUGAUGGAAAAGUUUAUUAAACCUUUUUAUUUAUUAAACUAUUUUGAUUGAUUAAUUGAUCCUUAGAUUAGGAUGAUAGAUUAAAUUACCUUAGGGAUAACAGCGUAAUUUUUUUGAAGAGUUCAUAUCGAUAAAAAAGUUUGCGACCUCGAUGUUGGAUUAAGAUUAAAUUUAAUGAAGAAGUUAAAUUAAGGAGUCUGUUCGACUUAUAAAAUCUUACAUGAUCUGAGUUCAAACCGGAGAAGGGC